Molecule: ribosomal RNA, 441 nt
Filed under: uncultured bacterium
Lineage: Bacteria
Description: partial 16S ribosomal RNA
Rfam family: Bacterial small subunit ribosomal RNA
Source: RNAcentral
CCUACGGGAGGCAGCAGUGGGGAAUAUUGCACAAUGGGGGAAACCCUGAUGCAGCGAAGCCGCGUGAGUGAAGAAGUAUUUCGGGAUGUAAAGCUCUAUCAGCAGGGAAAAAAAUGACGGUACCUGACUAAGAAGCCCCGGCUAAAUACGUGCCAGCAGCCGCGGUAAUACGUAAGGGGCAAGCGUUAUCCGGAGUUACUGGGUGUAAAGGGAGCGUAGGAGGCAUGGUAAGCCAGAAGUGAAAACCCAGGGCUUAACUCUGUGGAUUGCUUUUGGAACUAUCAAGCUAGAGUGCUGGAGGGGUAAGCGGAAUUCCUAGUGUAGCGGUGAAAUGCGUAGAUAUUAGGAGGAACACCGGUGGCGAAGGCGGCUUACUGGACAGAAACUGACACUGAGGCUCGAAAGCGUGGGGAGCAAACAGGAUUAGAUACCCCAGUAGUC